UUGUGGGCGCCCUACCUCGCCAUCCUCCCGCGCCAGACCGACUCCACCAUCUUCUGGUCAGAAGAAGAGCUCUUGGAGAUACAAGGAACACAAUUACUGAGCACAACGAUGGUUGUGAAAGAG
Molecule: long non-coding RNA, 123 nt
Organism: Hordeum vulgare subsp. vulgare (domesticated barley)
Lineage: Eukaryota; Viridiplantae; Streptophyta; Magnoliopsida; Poales; Poaceae
Exons: 3
Source: RefSeq, a predicted model, not a curated record